Molecule: long non-coding RNA, 740 nt
Organism: Camponotus floridanus (Florida carpenter ant)
Lineage: Eukaryota; Metazoa; Arthropoda; Insecta; Hymenoptera; Formicidae
Exons: 3
Source: RefSeq, a predicted model, not a curated record
GAAACGGGACGUGGCGCGCACUUCAUUCCGUGCAAAAAACGCUGCCUUCGCGUUGUUAAGAUAUCGCCUCGAAGAUCGACUUAAUUUUCCCCGCGUCGGGAUCCCGGCUGCUUUACCGGUUUAAGGCGCGUACCUGAGAAACGGGAAUCCAUCGGCGAGAAACAUCGUUAAAUUCUCGGUAACCGCGAUGUGUAACACGCGUGAGAAUAGUUCGAGGAAGUGACGUGACUUUGGAAAUCAAACGUGCGCGUUUCUCCCGAAGCGAUGGCGGCGAACGCGUGGAAAAGAGCCAGGCCGGCUUCUCGGAAGCAAUUUCGCCAUUGGAAAAGCGUAAUUACCGGUUGGAAGCGUAAACCGUUGUCGGAAACCUGGCAGGCAGGUGAACAUUGCCCGAUGAGCAAAGUCCGUGUAUCCCACAUCUCGUUCAAGCUAACCAAGCAAGAAACAAGACCGUUUUCAUUUUCUUCCGAAAAGCAGCAAUAUCCUUCAACGCAGAAGCAAGUCCCACUUUGACCAAAACGAUUUCCAGUAGUGGUGCGACGCUGUUCUGCAAGAAACACUCGAGAGCAAAGAAACGAUCUCGGAGAGUAAAACGGUGCGGUGAAGAUGUUUGUUCCGUGCAAAUCGCACACAAACGCAAAAGGCUCUUAAAACAAAUUCCGAUAAGCAGUGCAGCUUCUCUAAAAAAAUGCACUAAUGGAUGCAACGCGGCUGAGAAGAAUAAAAAAAAAAAAGAUUGA